UACGUAGGGGGCAAGCGUUGUCCGGAAUCAUUGGGCGUAAAGAGCGUGUAGGCGGCUCGGUAAGUCCGCUGUAAAAGUCCAGGGCUCAACCCUGGAAAGCCGGUGGAAACUGUCGAGCUAGAGUCCGGAAGAGGCGAGUGGAAUUCCUGGUGUAGCGGUGAAAUGCGCAGAUAUCAGGAGGAACACCAGUGGCGAAGGCGGCUCACUGGCCCGGAACUGACGCUGAGACGCGAAAGCGUGGGGAGCAAACAGG
RNAcentral lists this ribosomal RNA (253 nucleotides) under uncultured bacterium. RNAcentral describes it as "partial 16S ribosomal RNA". It matches the Rfam family "Bacterial small subunit ribosomal RNA", at positions 524 to 776 of the family's 1533-position model. The record is from RNAcentral.